This 24-nucleotide non-coding RNA is filed under the name Arabidopsis thaliana (thale cress). The record is from RNAcentral. Lineage: Eukaryota; Viridiplantae; Streptophyta; Magnoliopsida; Brassicales; Brassicaceae.
AGAUUGAAUGAGAUCAAGGUGGAU